UUUUAAGAAGAGGAAACUCAGUCUUUUCAAACAGAAAGACCACCACUGUGUUCAAACAAUUUAAUUUCCCUAAAAGUCCUAGAGGUGUUGAAAGAGUCCGGACUUUGAAGCCCCACUCUAAAUUUGGACUAUAGGAUGAGAGUGUUUGUUUUGUGGAAAGUAAAGGGAGUGCCACAAAGUGGACAAAAAUAAAUUCCAGACCUCUUAUGUGGGUGGACUCGACCGGGACUGCAGAAGAGACAAAUGAUGACAUCAGGAUCUGCUACCAUGCGUGGUAAAUGAGCCAUCGACACAUCAGGAUCAAGUGAUCUCACCCUCCUAAGCUUCUCUUUUGUGGUCUCCCUCCGAGACCACUUUAACCCCUUUAGGAGCCACCUGCACUUAAUAACCAAGAAUUGGGGGGUUUCACAGGAAAGGCUCCAACCCAGAUGGCAAACACUGAGCGUCAGCAAUGCAAAGGGCACGGGCCAGUGCAACACAACAUUCUUGUUGCAUGUAGUCAGUCUGGUCAGGGGAAAUCCACCUCUGGAAUUUCUGUUAGAUUCCUUGCCGUGUUAUUCUGUUCCUGCUACCUGUGUUCGUUAGCCUCCCUCCUUCAGUUGCUCUGCAUUCGCCCUGGCACCAGCUGCUUCAUCGGAUUAGCUCUUCUUGUUCAUUGGUCAUUUCUCCACCCUGCCUCUGCAUUUAUACUUUGUGGUUUUCAUUAACUUCGUAAUAUGACAAAAUGUCUGACGAUAUCAUCAAAAUGUGGAGGUUGAGGAAUAAAAAAAAAAAGAAUCAAA
Molecule: long non-coding RNA, 782 nt
Organism: Girardinichthys multiradiatus
Lineage: Eukaryota; Metazoa; Chordata; Actinopteri; Cyprinodontiformes; Goodeidae
Exons: 2
Source: RefSeq, a predicted model, not a curated record